GUUCGGAUUGCAGGCUGCAACUCGCCUGCAUGAAGCUGGAAUUGCUAGUAAUCGCGGAUCAGCAAGCCGCGGUGAAUACGUUCCCGGGCCUUGUACACACCGCCCGUCACACCAUGAGAGUCGGGAACACCCGAAGUCCGUAGUCUAACCGCAAGGGGGGCGCGGCCGAAGGUGGGUCCGGUAAUUGGGGUGAAGUCGUAACAAGGUAUC
Molecule: ribosomal RNA, 210 nt
Filed under: uncultured bacterium
Lineage: Bacteria
Description: partial 16S ribosomal RNA
Rfam family: Bacterial small subunit ribosomal RNA
Source: RNAcentral